Molecule: ribosomal RNA, 780 nt
Filed under: uncultured bacterium
Lineage: Bacteria
Description: partial 16S ribosomal RNA
Source: RNAcentral
UAAAUUUCCAACGUCUAACACACAUCGUUUACGGCAUGGACUACGAGGGUAUCUAAUCCUCUUCGCUACCCAUGCUUUCGUUCCUCAGUGUCAGUAAUGAUCCAGAAAGCUGCCUUCGCAAUUGGUAUUCUUUCUAAUAUCUACGAAUUUCACCUCUACACUAGAAAUUCUGCUUUCCUCUAUCAUACUCUGGCUGAAAAGUUUUGAUGGCAGUUCCAGAGUUAAGCUCUGGGAUUUCACCACCAACUUUUUCAACCACCUACGAACUCUUUAAGCCCAGUAAUUCCGAACUACGCUAGGUCCCUUCGUAUUACCGCGGCUGCUGGCACGAAGUUAGCCGGGCCUUCUUAUUCGGGUACAGUCAUUUUCUUCCCCGACGAAAGAGCUUUACAACCCAAAGGCCUUCUUCACUCACGCGGCAUCGCUGCAUCAGAGUUUCCUCCAUUGUGCAAGAUUCCCCACUGCUGCCUCCCGUAGGAGUUUGGGCCGUGUCUCAGUCCCAAUGUGGCUGAUCAUCCUCUCAAAUCAGCUAUUGAUCAUAGUCUUGGUAGGCCAUUACCCUACCAACAAACUAAUCAAGUGCGGGCUCCUCCAAUGGUGCAUAAAGCUUUCUCCGUAAAGACUUAUCCGGUAUUAGCACAAGUUUCCUCGUGUUAUUCCAGGCCAAAGGGUAGAUACCCACAUGUUACUCACCCGUCUGCCACUAAGUAUUGCUACUUCGUUCGACUUGCAUGUGUUAGGCGUGCCGCCAGCGUACGUUCUGAGCCAGGAUCAAACUCU